GCUGGGCGCGGUGGCUCACGCCUGUAAUCCUAGCACUUUGGGAGGCUAAGGUGGGUGGAUCACCUAAGGUCAGGAGUUCAAAACGAGCCUGCCUGUCCAUCAAGGUGAAACCCCAUCUUUA
Molecule: unclassified non-coding RNA, 121 nt
Organism: Callithrix jacchus (white-tufted-ear marmoset)
Lineage: Eukaryota; Metazoa; Chordata; Mammalia; Primates; Cebidae
Rfam family: Metazoan signal recognition particle RNA
About the family: The signal recognition particle (SRP) is a universally conserved ribonucleoprotein. It is involved in the co-translational targeting of proteins to membranes.
Source: Ensembl